CUGCCAAUGAUGACACCACACUAACUGAGCAGUUAGUAGUUGGUCCUUUGAUUGCAUGUGAUGUAAUCAUUGUUUCAAGACGGGACUGAAGGCGG
Molecule: small nucleolar RNA, 95 nt
Filed under: Mus musculus (house mouse)
Lineage: Eukaryota; Metazoa; Chordata; Mammalia; Rodentia; Muridae
Rfam family: Small nucleolar RNA SNORD21
About the family: U21 is a member of the C/D class of snoRNA which contain the C (UGAUGA) and D (CUGA) box motifs. U21 is encoded within an intron of the gene for ribosomal protein L5 in mammals, but within introns of the ADP ribosylation factor gene in Drosophila. U21 snoRNA has a 13 nt region of complementarity with an invariant region of eukaryotic 28S ribosomal RNA.
Source: RNAcentral